RNAcentral lists this ribosomal RNA (460 nucleotides) under uncultured bacterium. RNAcentral describes it as "partial 16S ribosomal RNA". It matches the Rfam family "Bacterial small subunit ribosomal RNA", at positions 338 to 795 of the family's 1533-position model. The record is from RNAcentral.
CCUACGGGUGGCAGCAGUGAGGAAUAUUGGUCAAUGGACGAGAGUCUGAACCAGCCAAGUAGCGUGAAGGAUGACUGCCCUAUGGGUUGUAAACUUCUUUUAUAUGGGAGUAAAAUGUUCCACGUGUGGGAUCGUGUAUGUACCACAUGAAUAAGGCUCGGCUAACUCCUGGCCAGCAGCCGCGGUAAUACGGAGGAUCCGAGAGUUAUCCGGUUUUAUGGGGUUUAAAGGGAGCGUAGGUGGAUUGUUAAGUCAGUUGUGAAAGUUUGCGGCUCAACCGUAAAAUUGCAGUUGAAACUGGCAGUCUUGAGUACAGUAGAGGUGGGCGGAAUACGUGGUGUAGCGGUGAAAUGCUUAGAUAUCACGAAGAACUCCGAUUGCGAAGGCAGUUCACUGGACUGCAACUGACACUGAGGCUCGAAAGUGUGGGUAUCAAACAGGAUUAGAUACCCUGGUAGUC